Molecule: ribosomal RNA, 305 nt
Filed under: uncultured bacterium
Lineage: Bacteria
Description: bacterial SSU rRNA
Rfam family: Bacterial small subunit ribosomal RNA
Source: RNAcentral
UCCUACGGGGGGCAGCAGUGAGGAAUAUUGGUCAAUGGGCGCGAGCCUGAACCAGCCAAGUCGCGUGAGGGAAGACGGUCCUAUGGAUUGUAAACCUCUUUUGUCGGGGAGCAAAAGACGCCACGUGUGGCGUUCCGAGAGUACCCGAAGAAAAAGCAUCGGCUAACUCCGUGCCAGCAGCCGCGGUAAUACGGAGGAUGCGAGCGUUAUCCGGAUUUAUUGGGUUUAAAGGGUGCGCAGGCGGAAGAUCAAGUCAGCGGUAAAAUUGAGAGGCUCAACCCCUUCGAGCCGUUGAGACUGGUUUU